This 489-nucleotide ribosomal RNA is filed under the name uncultured Proteiniphilum sp. Its description in RNAcentral is "bacterial SSU rRNA". It matches the Rfam family "Bacterial small subunit ribosomal RNA", at positions 892 to 1382 of the family's 1533-position model. Lineage: Bacteria; Pseudomonadati; Bacteroidota; Bacteroidia; Bacteroidales; Dysgonomonadaceae. The record is from RNAcentral.
GCUCAGAACUCAAAGAAUGACGGGGCCCGCACAAGCGGAGGAACAUGUGGUUUAAUUCGAUGAUACGCGAGGAACCUUACCCGGGCUUGAAAUGCAUCUGACGAGGGGCGGAGACCGCCCUCUUCCGUUCGGGACAGAUGUGUAGGUGCUGCAUGGUUGUCGUCAGCUCGUGCCGUGAGGUGUCGGCUUAAGUGCCAUAACGAGCGCAACCCUCAUCAUUAGUUACCAUCAGGUUAAGCUGGGGACUCUAGUGAGACUGCCAUCGUAAGAUGCGAGGAAGGUGGGGAUGACGUCAAAUCAGCACGGCCCUUACGUCCGGGGCGACACACGUGUUACAAUGGGUGGUACAAAGGGCAGCUACAUGGCGACAUGAUGCUAAUCUCCAAAACCACUCUCAGUUCGGAUCGGAGUCUGCAACUCGACUCCGUGAAGUUGGAAUCGCUAGUAAUCGUGGAUCAGCAUGCCACGGUGAAUACGUUCCCGGGCCUU